This 217-nucleotide long non-coding RNA is filed under the name Lepisosteus oculatus (spotted gar). RNAcentral describes it as "lncRNA (ENSLOCG00000023279.1)". The record is from RNAcentral. Lineage: Eukaryota; Metazoa; Chordata; Actinopteri; Semionotiformes; Lepisosteidae.
UGGGCGUCUGUUUUUAGCAACCAGUUCAUUGUACUCUCGGUUUUGUUUUCUUACCAGGUACACACCAUAGAAAAUGGCUUUGCACAGCCGGCUGUCUGUAACACAGAGAGUGUUGCUAGCUGUCAUUUGUUUCCCUCUUCUCCCGUUUUACCUGUGCUAUCUAUGUUGCUGUGCCACCGAAGAAGAUGCCAAUGAACAAGAGGAGCACAGACUUGGU